CCUACGGGAGGCAGCAGUGGGGAAUAUUGCACAAUGGAGGAAACCCUGAUGCAGCGACGCCGCGUGAGCGAGGAAGUAUUUCGGUAUGUAAAGCUCUAUCAUCAGGGACGAAAAAGGACGGUACCUGCCUACGAAGCCCCGGCUAACUACGUGCCAGCAGCCGCGGUAAUACGUAGGGGGCCAGCGUUAUCCGGAUUGACUGGGUGUAAAGGGAGCGUAGACGGGAAGGCAAGCCAGAAGUGAAAGGGCAGGGCUCAACCCUGGACAUGCAUUUGUAACUGUGGUCCUAGAGUGCAGGAGAGGUAAGUGGAAUUCCUAGUGUAGCGGUGAAAUGCGUAGAUAUUAGGAGGAACACCAGUGGCGAAGGCGACUGACUGGACUGUAACUGACGUUGAGGCACGAAAGUGCGGGUAUCGAACAGGAUUAGAUACCCGAGUAGUC
Molecule: ribosomal RNA, 441 nt
Filed under: uncultured bacterium
Lineage: Bacteria
Description: partial 16S ribosomal RNA
Rfam family: Bacterial small subunit ribosomal RNA
Source: RNAcentral